GCGUGAUUGCAGAUUCCGUGAAUCAUCGAGUCUUUGAACGCACAUUGCGCCCCCUGGUAUUCCGGGGGGCAUGCCUGUCCGAGCGUCAUUGCUGCCCAUCAAGCACGGCUUGUGUGUUGGGUCGUCGUCCCCUCUCCGGGGGGGACGGGCCCCAAAGGCAGCGGCGGCACCGCGUCCGAUCCUCGAGCGUAUGGGGCUUUGUCACCCGCUCUGUAGGCCCGGCCGGCGCUUGCCGAACGCAAAUCAAUCUUUUCCAGGUUGACCUCGGAUUAGGUAGGGAUACCCGCUGAACUUAAGCAUAUCAAUAAGCGGAGGA
Molecule: ribosomal RNA, 316 nt
Filed under: Fusarium solani
Lineage: Eukaryota; Fungi; Ascomycota; Sordariomycetes; Hypocreales; Nectriaceae
Description: eukaryotic LSU rRNA
Rfam family: 5.8S ribosomal RNA (bases 1-88)
Source: RNAcentral